UUUUGCUCGAGUCUAUGGUGUCAAUCAGCUGAUAAGGACAUUUCUGCAGAAGACAGAAUGUUAUUGUCAAAUUCUAAAUCUUGAGACUGGGAUGGAGACCACCUUCUGGAGAUUAAAGGAUCAUAGAAGUCCUGUUGCCUGCCUGUCGCAUUCAAUCAAGUUGCGUAAAAUACUGCUGUGGAGAAAGGGAGAUAUUUUCCCUGGAAAUCUGGAGUCAUGUUUACUCACUACGUUCCACAAGAGAGCAAUGAAGUAAGAGAAUUUCUAUUGUUUCUGGAAAUGUUAUUUAUCAUAUUCUCACCGAACUCUAUACCUCUAUCUAUGGGCACAGAUUAUUCUGGAAGGCCAGUGAGAACUAUUCUAGAUGAAACCUCUGGUUUCAAAAUGGAACUUUUUGAUGCUGCAGAUAAUUGUGACA
Long non-coding RNA from Neogale vison (American mink), 418 nucleotides. RefSeq lists it as uncharacterized. The record is from RefSeq and is a predicted model, not a curated record. The transcript is spliced from 3 exons. NCBI's taxonomy places the organism in Eukaryota, Metazoa, Chordata, Mammalia, Carnivora, Mustelidae.